Molecule: ribosomal RNA, 492 nt
Filed under: uncultured bacterium
Lineage: Bacteria
Description: partial 16S ribosomal RNA
Rfam family: Bacterial small subunit ribosomal RNA
Source: RNAcentral
AUUGAACGCUGGCGGCAUGCCUAACACAUGCAAGUCGAACGGCAACACAGUUAGAGCUUGUUAUUACUGGUGGCCGGUUGCGUACUGCAUAGGAAUAUACCCGGACCUACUUUUUCGUGGGGCAUAACGUAUGGUAAUUUACCCUAAUAUCUCAUACGACCUACAGGUGAAAGCAGGGGAUCUUCCGUUCUUGCGCGCCUGUAUGAGCCGAUGUCGGAUUAGGUAGUUGGGGGGUUAAAGGCCCACCAAGGCGACGAUCCGUAGCUGGCCUGAGAGGACGAUCAGCCACACUGGAACUGAGACACGGUCCAGACUCCUACGGGAGGCAGCAGUGGGGAAUAUUGGACAAUGGGCGAAAGCCUGAUCCAGCAAUGCCGCGUGCAGGAAGAAGGCCUUCGGGUUGUAAAGCGCUUUUGUAGGGAAAGAAAAGCAGCAGGCUAAUACCUGGCGGAUAUGACGGUACCGUAAGAAUAAGCACCGGCUAACUACGUG